GGUCGUGGCUCAGUGGUAGAGUGCACAGCUAGCAUGCAUGAGGCACUGGGUUUGAUCCUCAGCACCA
RNAcentral lists this transfer RNA (67 nucleotides) under Marmota monax (woodchuck). RNAcentral's name for it is "tRNA.Ala". Lineage: Eukaryota; Metazoa; Chordata; Mammalia; Rodentia; Sciuridae. The record is from RNAcentral.